This 1037-nucleotide ribosomal RNA is filed under the name Salmonella enterica. RNAcentral describes it as "bacterial SSU rRNA". It matches the Rfam family "Bacterial small subunit ribosomal RNA", at positions 1 to 1027 of the family's 1533-position model. The record is from RNAcentral. Lineage: Bacteria; Pseudomonadati; Pseudomonadota; Gammaproteobacteria; Enterobacterales; Enterobacteriaceae.
AAAUUGAAGAGUUUGAUCAUGGCUCAGAUUGAACGCUGGCGGCAGGCCUAACACAUGCAAGUCGAACGGUAACAGGAAGCAGCUUGCUGCUUUGCUGACGAGUGGCGGACGGGUGAGUAAUGUCUGGGAAACUGCCUGAUGGAGGGGGAUAACUACUGGAAACGGUGGCUAAUACCGCAUAACGUCGCAAGACCAAAGAGGGGGACCUUCGGGCCUCUUGCCAUCAGAUGUGCCCAGAUGGGAUUAGCUUGUUGGUGAGGUAACGGCUCACCAAGGCGACGAUCCCUAGCUGGUCUGAGAGGAUGACCAGCCACACUGGAACUGAGACACGGUCCAGACUCCUACGGGAGGCAGCAGUGGGGAAUAUUGCACAAUGGGCGCAAGCCUGAUGCAGCCAUGCCGCGUGUAUGAAGAAGGCCUUCGGGUUGUAAAGUACUUUCAGCGGGGAGGAAGGUGUUGUGGUUAAUAACCGCAGCAAUUGACGUUACCCGCAGAAGAAGCACCGGCUAACUCCGUGCCAGCAGCCGCGGUAAUACGGAGGGUGCAAGCGUUAAUCGGAAUUACUGGGCGUAAAGCGCACGCAGGCGGUCUGUCAAGUCGGAUGUGAAAUCCCCGGGCUCAACCUGGGAACUGCAUUCGAAACUGGCAGGCUUGAGUCUUGUAGAGGGGGGUAGAAUUCCAGGUGUAGCGGUGAAAUGCGUAGAGAUCUGGAGGAAUAGCGGUGGCGAAGGCGGCCCCCUGGACAAAGACUGACGCUCAGGUGCGAAAGCGUGGGGAGCAAACAGGAUUAGAUACCCUGGUAGUCCACGCCGUAAACGAUGUCUACUUGGAGGUUGUGCCCUUGAGGCGUGGCUUCCGGAGCUAACGCGUUAAGUAGACCGCCUGGGGAGUACGGCCGCAAGGUUAAAACUCAAAUGAAUUGACGGGGGCCCGCACAAGCGGUGGAGCAUGUGGUUUAAUUCGAUGCAACGCGAAGAACCUUACCUGGUCUUGACAUCCACAGAACUUUCCAGAGAUGGACUGGUGCCUUCGGGAAC